GCCCAAACACCCUCUGGGGGAAGAACCUGUUUCUAAUACCCAACCUAAACCUCUCCUGACACAGCUUCAGGCCAUUCCCUUGUGUCCUGUCACAAGGGCCACCACAGAGAUCAGUGUGUGCCACUGUUCUUCCCCUCACAAGAAGUUGUAACUGCAGUGAGGUCUUUCCUCAGUCUCCUCCAGGCUGGACAGGCCAAGUGACCUCAGCUGCUCCUCACACAGCUUCCCCUCAAGGCCCUUCACCAUCUUGGCUGCCCUCGUUUGGAUGCUCUCUUAGUAUCUUUUUUUUAUUGUGGUGCCCAAAACUGUGCACAGCUCUUGCGGUGAGGCCAACCAGUGCACAGCAGAGGGGACAAUCCCCUCCCUUGCCCAGCUGGUGACGCUGUGCCUGAUGCCCCCCAGGACAGGGUUGGCCCUCCUGGCUUCCAGGGCACUGCUGGCUCAUGUUCAACUUGCCAUCGACCAGGGUACCCAGAUCCCUGCUGGACCAGUACCAUGGCACUGCUCUCCAGCUUCUCAUUCCCCAGUCUGUAUGUACUAUGAUCAGGGUUGCCGCAUCCCUGGGGCAGCAGUCCUGCACUGCAGACGAUAUUUGCAACUGGUCACUAUAGAAUUGACACUACAGAAAGAACGUUACCCAGACACUGGAAAGCACUGCUGCCUGAUUUUCCACACAGAAACAUCACCUGUGAACACCUGGGCAUGGGCAGCACCCUCACUGAUGCACCAGAAGACAUGCUGAGUGCCAGGCAGCUGAUCACCCAUGACAGAGGUUGUGCAUUCUGCUGUGCCCUGACUUUCUUUCUGUACUGCACAAAAAUAGGGCUGUCUCCAUUCAAAAGUCUGCAAGUCCACCUCUAGCAUUUCUCACUCUUGUGUAAAGUAGAGCUGGUAAGA
Molecule: long non-coding RNA, 897 nt
Filed under: Cyanistes caeruleus (blue tit)
Lineage: Eukaryota; Metazoa; Chordata; Aves; Passeriformes; Paridae
Description: lncRNA (ENSCCEG00000012134.1)
Source: RNAcentral